CCUGACUGCUAUCGGAUUGAUACUAAGCCAUGCGAGUCUUUGUAGCAAUACAAGGCAGACGGCUCAGUAACGCGUAGUCAACCUAACCUAUGGACGGGAAUAACCUCGGGAAACUGAGUAUAAUGCCCGAUAGAACAUUAUGCCUGGAAGGGUUUAUGUUCCAAAUGAUUUAUCGCCGUAGGAUGGGACUGCGGCCUAUCAGUUUGUUGGUGAGGUAAUGGCCCACCAAGACUAUUACAGGUACGGGCUCUGAGAGGAGUAGCCCGGAGAUGGGUACUGAGACACGGACCCAGGCCCUAUGGGGCGCAGCAGGCGAGAAAACUUUGCAAUGUGCGAAAGCACGACAAGGUUAAUCCGAGUGUUUCCUGCUAAAGGAAUCUUUUGUCAGUCAUAACACCACUAACGAAUAAGGGGUGGGCAAGUUCUGGUGUCAGCCGCCGCGGUAAAACCAGCACCUCAAGUGGUCAGGAGGAUUAUUGGGCCUAAAGCAUCCGUAGCCUGCUUUGUAAGUUUUCGGUUAAAUCCAUAUGCUCAACAUAUGGGCUGUCGGGAAUACUGCAUAGCUAGGGAGUGGGAGAGGUAGACGGUACUCCAUAGGAAGGGGUAAAAUCCUUUGAUCUAUGGAAGACCACCUGUGGCGAAGGCGGUCUACCAGAACACGUUCGACGGUGAGGGAUGAAAGCUGGGGGAGCAAACCGGAUUAGAUACCCGGGUAGUCCCAGCUGUAAACGAUGCAGACUCGGUGAUGCGCUGGCUUGUGGCCAGUGCAGUGCCGCAGGGAAGCCGUUAAGUUUGCCGCCUGGGAAGUACGUACGCAAGUAUGAAACUUAAAGGAAUUGGCGGGGGAGCACCACAAGGGGUGAAGCCUGCGGUUC
RNAcentral lists this ribosomal RNA (875 nucleotides) under uncultured Candidatus Nitrosopumilus sp. Its description in RNAcentral is "bacterial SSU rRNA". It matches the Rfam family "Archaeal small subunit ribosomal RNA", at positions 21 to 903 of the family's 1478-position model. Lineage: Archaea; Thermoproteati; Nitrososphaerota; Nitrososphaeria; Nitrosopumilales; Nitrosopumilaceae. The record is from RNAcentral.